This 59-nucleotide microRNA precursor is filed under the name Salmo salar (Atlantic salmon). Its description in RNAcentral is "microRNA ssa-mir-133b precursor (ssa-mir-133b-1)". Its record names the gene ssa-mir-133b-1. It matches the Rfam family "mir-133 microRNA precursor family", at positions 15 to 70 of the family's 74-position model. From Rfam's summary of the family: mir-133 was first experimentally characterised in mouse and homologues have since been discovered in several other species. The mature sequence is excised from the 3' arm of the hairpin. Lineage: Eukaryota; Metazoa; Chordata; Actinopteri; Salmoniformes; Salmonidae. The record is from miRBase by way of RNAcentral.
GCUGGUCAAACGGAACCAAGUCAGGUGUUUUAGUGAGGUUUGGUCCCCUUCAACCAGCU